RNAcentral lists this ribosomal RNA (397 nucleotides) under uncultured bacterium. Its description in RNAcentral is "partial 16S ribosomal RNA". It matches the Rfam family "Bacterial small subunit ribosomal RNA", at positions 523 to 918 of the family's 1533-position model. The record is from RNAcentral.
AUACGUAGGGGGCGAGCGUUGUCCGGAAUGACUGGGCGUAAAGGGCGCGUAGGCGGCUUUGCAAGUCAGUAGUGGAAGUCCAUUUUUCAAGGAUGGAAGUGCUACAGAAGCUGCGGAGCUUGAGUGUAGGAGAGGUUAUCGGAAUUCCCGGUGUAGCGGUGUAAGGCGUAGAGAUCGGGAGGAACACCAGUGGCGAAGGCGGGUAACUGGACUGCAACUGACGCUGAGGCGCGAAAGUGUGGGGAGCAAACAGGAUUAGAUACCCUGGUAGUCCACACCGUAAACGAUGAAUACUAGGUGUAGGAGGUAUCGACUCCUUCUGUGCCGAAGCAAACGCAUUAAGUAUUCCACCUGGGGAGUACGGCCGCAAGGUUAAAACUCAAAUGAAUUGGCGGGG